Molecule: ribosomal RNA, 432 nt
Filed under: uncultured bacterium
Lineage: Bacteria
Description: bacterial SSU rRNA
Rfam family: Bacterial small subunit ribosomal RNA
Source: RNAcentral
AUGAAUGCUGGCUGUAUGGAUAAGGCAUGCAAGUCGAACGGCCCGCAAGGGCAGUGGCAGACGAGGUAGUAACACGUACGAACGUACUCCAAAGUCGGGCAUAGCUCACCGAAAGGUGAGGUAAUUCCCGAUAGUCCCGUGAGGGUAAAGAUUUAUCGCUUUGGAAGCGGCGUGCGUAGUAUCAGCUUGUUGGUAAGGUAAUGGCUUACCAAGGCUACGACGCUUAGGGGAGCUGAGAGGCUGACCCCCACCGAUGGGACUGAGACACGGCCCAUACUCCUACGGGAGGCCGCAGUCGAGAAUCUUCCGCAAUGGACGAAAGUCUGACGGAGCGAUACAGCGUGAUGGACGAAGUGCCUCGGCACGUAAACAUCUUUUAUGUGGGACGAAAUUAUUGACGGUACCACAUGAAUAAGGGGCUCCUAACUCUGU